UUAUUUAUUUUAUUUUUUUUUAUUUAUUUAUGGAGUAAUUAUUUAUAUAUAUUUGAUAAAUUUUUGACUUUUUUAUUUACCAUGCACUUUUAUAAGACUAACAUUAAAAAUACUUUUUUAGCAUUUUAAGUUAUUUCAAAUAUACCCAAAAUUAAAUUUUGUUAGUAAACGAUUAGCAACAGCCGUUAUUUCUGUAAAAUUAAUAUUUUGUCCUUUUGAAUAUACUCUUCUAUGGUUAUCGACCUUUCUUAUUUGCCUUUAAGUUAGGAGCAAAAUAAGUAUAUUUUGAUUUUUGCUCUUUUCAAAUAUACCCUUCUGUUAUCAUCAACUUUUCUUAUUUGUCUUUAAGUUAGGAGCAAAAGAAAUGUUUUAAUUUUUUUUUUGGGAAAACUUCAAAAACCCUCCCUGUGGUUUCGUGCAUUCUCACUUUGCUACCCUAUGGUUUAAAACGUAUCAUUUUGCCCCCCUGUGGUUUCGUUUUUAUCUUUUUGUUAUCAAUUUUAUUAUUAUUAUUUUUUAAAAUCAGUGACAAAGUUAAAAUUAAAGGAUACUAAAGUGACUAUUCGAUAAAUAUAGAUGGUUAUCUGAAGUUUUUUGUAUAUAAUUUAACGAAAUAUUAACGAAAAAGCUUCCGAAAAGAUAAAAAUGAAACCACAGGGGGGUAAAUUGAUACGUUUUAAACCACAGGGUAGCAAAGUGAGAAUGCACGAAACCACAGGGGGGGUUUUUGAAGUUUUUCCUUUUUUUUUUAACUCCGAUAGAACUUUAACAAAGGUUUAAUUCGAGAUAGCUUAACGGGUACUAACAGCGAAGGCAUUUUUGAAUAACAGAGAAAUAUACGCGGAGUAUAUUUGAAACAAAAAAAAAAAAAGGGUAUAUUAGAUAUUUUAUAAGUUUUCAGGAACAUAUUAGAUAUAAUUCCUUUAUCUUUUACGGAGAUGGAGUGGUCUCCUUGUCAUUACGAAGGGAGAAAAAAUUGUGAAUUGAAUAAAAUUUAUUCAUGUAUGUAGUUUAGCAUAUUUUUAUUUUAUCAUUCGAUAGUUUCAAAAACUUUAUUACGAAAAUAAAAUGAGUUAAUUUGAAGCGGAAUCAUAUAAACUAGUUCAGGGCCCGCGCUUCAUAGCGGAUCGAUAGUAUUUCAGUCAAUCAACAUAUAUAAUUAUUUAAGUUUUAAAAUUUAAAAAUAUAAUAAGAAAUAAAAAAAAUUCAUAUAGCCUUCCAUACAUUAUAAAUCUAAUCUUUUUUUAUUAAUAUUUUUAACUUUCAGUAUUUGUA
This 1275-nucleotide long non-coding RNA is filed under the name Ananas comosus (pineapple). RNAcentral's name for it is "long non-coding RNA (ACOM_LNC005571)". Lineage: Eukaryota; Viridiplantae; Streptophyta; Magnoliopsida; Poales; Bromeliaceae. The record is from RNAcentral.